Molecule: small nucleolar RNA, 144 nt
Organism: Arvicanthis niloticus (Nile rat)
Lineage: Eukaryota; Metazoa; Chordata; Mammalia; Rodentia; Muridae
Product: small nucleolar RNA SNORA48
Source: RefSeq, a predicted model, not a curated record
CAUCCCUGGCAAUAGGCAAAGAAACACCCUGUUGGUUGUGGUAUUCUUACAUUUGUCAGUGGCAGAGCAGAUGACAGUCCUUUGUAUAUCCUAGUGUGAUGCUUAGCUUAGAGGCCAAAUCUGCUUUAUGCCUGGGACACAUAA